GAUGAACGCUGGCGGCGUGCCUAACACAUGCAAGUCGAGCGAAGCGCUGUUUUCAGAAUCUUCGGAGGAAGAGGACAGUGACUGAGCGGCGGACGGGUGAGUAACGCGUGGGCAACCUGCCUCAUACAGGGGGAUAACAGUUAGAAAUGACUGCUAAUACCGCAUAAGCGCACAGGACCGCAUGGUGUAGUGUGAAAAACUCCGGUGGUAUGAGAUGGACCCGCGUCUGAUUAGGUAGUUGGUGGGGUAAAGGCCUACCAAGCCGACGAUCAGUAGCCGACCUGAGAGGGUGACCGGCCACAUUGGGACUGAGACACGGCCCAAACUCCUACGGGAGGCAGCAGUGGGGAAUAUUGCACAAUGGGGGAAACCCUGAUGCAGCGACGCCGCGUGAAGGAAGAAGUAUUUCGGUAUGUAAACUUCUAUCAGCAGGGAAGAAGAUGACG
This 446-nucleotide ribosomal RNA is filed under the name uncultured bacterium. RNAcentral describes it as "bacterial SSU rRNA". It matches the Rfam family "Bacterial small subunit ribosomal RNA", at positions 28 to 456 of the family's 1533-position model. The record is from RNAcentral.